This 1329-nucleotide long non-coding RNA is filed under the name Callithrix jacchus (white-tufted-ear marmoset). Its description in RNAcentral is "lncRNA (ENSCJAG00000073042.1)". The record is from RNAcentral. Lineage: Eukaryota; Metazoa; Chordata; Mammalia; Primates; Cebidae.
GUAAUCCACCCACCUCGGCCUCCCAAAGUGCUGGGAUUAUAGGCAUGAGCCACUGCACCUGGCCUAUUUCUUAAAAUUACCUAAUUGGAUCAUGACUUUUCCCAGGUGAACUCCUGUCUAGUUCCUCAUCUCCCAAGAGCAAUGUCCACAAAGAACUAGAAAAAAAGUUAAGAUGUCUGGAUGAGGAUCACAGCACUUAAGAAGUGAUGGAUCUUUCCAUGCAUCCCUCAAAGCCUGGCUUUCACCUUCUGCUGUUUCACCAGGGAGGAUCUAAUCACGGAAAUCUGGACAUCCUGGCAAUUUCAAGCAAAUGGAUCUUGAGUUCAAAUGCCAGACAAGCCAUUAGAAACUUUGUUUUCAAAUCACAGACCCGUCCUCGUGUCUCCACAGACUUCACAGCCAAGUGAAGAAGAUCUUUGCGUGAACACGACCUUUCAGCUGGUGAAUCAGAUGACUAGAAAAAUUACCCACAUCAGUUUUCUUUAUGGAGUGACCCACACACCAAGAAAUGCUGCUCAGCUCCCAACACUGCUGUCAUCUAGAUACCCACGUGGAUAAACAAGUCAUGUUUCCACAAAACACUGCAGGUUAGGGCCUCUGCUCAUGGCAGGAUGGAGAUGGCAAAAUAAAGAGGGGGCUUUGGGCUGUUGGGUUUGUGUCAUGUGAGCUUUUUUAGUGACCUUUAAUGGGGAGAGAGACUAGAUGCUGAGUUUAAUCACAUAAGACCAGCUCAAGACAAACUGCGUAGUUUUGUUUCCUGUCUGAAAAGAAAAAGAAUAAAUAACCCACGCACUAACAGGCAACUGAACGCUGAGCACUCCGUUGGUCCUAGAUUUACUGGAGGAUUUGACAACAAGAAUUUGCUUGUAGUUUUCCACCUUCUCCUGCUAUUUUCCUAGCCAGUCAUUUUGAACGUCCCUCCCCCAUCCUUAUCCACCCCUCAACCAUUCCCGUUCUUAAGCCAAAUAAAAAGGAAACAUCAGUGAAAUAAAGACCCAUGUUUCUGCUUUGACACACCAUGACCACAUUUUUAUACUAUUAUGAGGUGGGGUAUUUUUUUUUCUAUUUGUCAGUCUCUGUGGAUAAAAGACUCCGUCUUCCAUAAAGAAUUCCCACCAGAAAUCUUUAUAAGCCCUCAAUCAGAGAGACACUCUGCCAUCGUGCUGUGCAAAAGCUAAUCUAAUUAAGACAGGAUCUGCUAAAUUUAAUAGCCUGCUAUGAAUUUUUACAGACAUCUGGUAGCUGGAAGUUGGAACAGCUCUCACAUAUAAAAUUCACAUUGUCCAGAUGACCAAUAUCAGGGUCGAAUCUUUUCUUUCUUUGGGGAAC